GAUGAACGCUGGCGGCGUGCUUAAUACAUGCAAGUCGAACGGAAAGGCCCUGCUUUUGUGUGUUGCUCGUGUGGGGAACGGGUGAGUAUCACGUGAGUAUAAUGCACUUGUCUUUGUGAUAACUUUUGGAAACUGCGGCUAUUACAGGAUAGGAUCUCCUGCUGCGUGUUGGUGGUUGGAGAGUUUCGGCGGUGGGGGAUGGACUAGCGGCUUAUCAGCUUGUUGGUGGGGUAGUGGCUGACCAGGGGUUCGACGGGUAGCCGGCAUGAGAGGGUGACCGGGCACAUUGGGACUGCGAGACGGCCCAGACUCCUACGGGACGCAGCAGUGGGGAGUCUUGCACAACGGGCGCGCGUGUGAUGCAGCAGCGCUCGGUGCGGGAUGCCGGCCUUUGGGGGGUAAACAGAUGUCGCAUGUGACGAGGCGUGAGUGACGGUAACUGAUAAAGAAGCACCGGCUAACUACGUG
RNAcentral lists this ribosomal RNA (468 nucleotides) under uncultured bacterium. RNAcentral's name for it is "partial 16S ribosomal RNA". It matches the Rfam family "Bacterial small subunit ribosomal RNA", at positions 28 to 507 of the family's 1533-position model. The record is from RNAcentral.